Molecule: ribosomal RNA, 404 nt
Filed under: Actinomycetes bacterium
Lineage: Bacteria; Bacillati; Actinomycetota; Actinomycetes
Description: Actinobacteria bacterium partial 16S ribosomal RNA
Rfam family: Bacterial small subunit ribosomal RNA
Source: RNAcentral
UGGGGAAUAUUGGACAAUGGGCGCAAGCCUGAUCCAGCCAUGCCGCGUGAGUGAUGAAGGCCCUAGGGUUGUAAAGCUCUUUCACCGGUGAAGAUAAUGACGGUAACCGGAGAAGAAGCCCCGGCUAACUUCGUGCCAGCAGCCGCGGUAAUACGAAGGGGGCUAGCGUUGUUCGGAUUUACUGGGCGUAAGGCGCACGUAGGCGGACUAUUAAGUCAGGGGUGAAAUCCCGGGGCUCAACCCCGGAACUGCCUUUGAUACUGGUAGUCUUGAGUUAGGGAGAGGUGAGUGGAAUUCCGGGGGUAGAGGUGAAAUUCGUAGAGAUUCGGAGGAACACCAGUGGCGAAGGAGGCUCACUGGCUCGAUACUGACGCUGAGGUGCGAAAGCGUGGGGAGCAAACAGG